GAGGAAUAUUGGUCAAUGGGCGCAAGCCUGAACCAGCCAUCCCGCGUGAAGGAUGAAGGUCCUAUGGAUUGUAAACUUCUUUUAUACACCAAGAAAAACUCGAACGUGUUCGAGCCCGACGGUAGUGUAUGAAUAAGCAUCGGCUAACUCCGUGCCAGCAGCCGCGGUAAUACGGAGGAUGCAAGCGUUAUCCGGAUUCAUUGGGUUUAAAGGGUGCGUAGGCGGCUUUUUAAGUCAGUGGUGAAAUCCUGCCGCUUAACGGUAGAAUUGCCAUUGAUACUGAAAAGCUUGAGUACAAUUGAGGUAAGCGGAAUGUGUAGUGUAGCGGUGAAAUGCUUAGAUAUUACACAGAACACCAAUUGCGAAGGCAGCUUACUAAACUGUUACUGACGCUGAUGCACGAAAGCGUGGGGAGCGAAC
RNAcentral lists this ribosomal RNA (420 nucleotides) under uncultured bacterium. RNAcentral's name for it is "bacterial SSU rRNA". It matches the Rfam family "Bacterial small subunit ribosomal RNA", at positions 356 to 773 of the family's 1533-position model. The record is from RNAcentral.